UCCUUCAAUAAAAUUUCAUAACUUCUUUAAAAAAAAAUCCGAUGGAUGUAAUUAAUUGUCAAAAGAAAAGGUUUUCGCCAGCAUCUCCAGGUAAAACCAAGAUUUGCUCUUACUUUCACACCACAAGAAGGCCCCUUAUUCAAAACCUCACCCUCAAAAAAAAAAAAAAAAAUUAAACAAUUAUGGUCCUUUCGAUAAGCUCUAUAAAUUUUUUUUUUUAAAAAAAAACAAAUUAGAAUACAAGACAUUCAAGGCAUGCCACUGCGAUUAACUUGAUCCAUGGCCUUAGCCUGAACUUGACUGAGGCCACUGCCCCGAAAGAGUGGGACCGUCAGUGGCCCCGCGACCACGCUGGUUAUUAACAGGCUCAAGGUGCUGUCCAUCUGUGCCAUAACCAUGCCUCUUAUAAUCCUCUAAGUUUGAGUGCUUUACGUAAGGGCUGCUUUCAAGCGGCAGCCCCUCCGUCGGCUGCCGCCCGUCACCGCCGGAAACAUGCUGCCCGCCUCCCCGAUUGGCCUCGCCGCACAUCGCCUGCUGCCCGCCGACGCCGGGAUUGGCUGGUCCGCUGGCCCAAUUAGCCAUCGGGCCUGAUCUCUCCUGCUCAUCCGUCCUCAUCAACUUGGGUUGCUCUACGUUGCUCGACAUUCUGCGCCAUUUGUUUUCCUAUGCUUU
This 672-nucleotide long non-coding RNA is filed under the name Amborella trichopoda. RNAcentral describes it as "long non-coding RNA (ATRI_LNC002350)". The record is from RNAcentral. Lineage: Eukaryota; Viridiplantae; Streptophyta; Magnoliopsida; Amborellales; Amborellaceae.